AAGAAAGAUUGCUAUUGGAAUCUGCGUCACUCGUGCUCGCCAUGAUGUGCGGUCUGAUACGGAACACGGAAGCUGUCCAUGUUUCUCCAGAUUGCCUUACCGGUCCUGGCAACGGAUGCUUGCCGGUGCUGUGACAUGUUCUCGGAACUACUGUGUGGGUCGAGGCUUGUUUUGACAAAUGUCACAAACGUGAUAACACUGUGUCGUAGAACUGGAUCCACCGAUUAUG
Molecule: long non-coding RNA, 229 nt
Organism: Zootermopsis nevadensis
Lineage: Eukaryota; Metazoa; Arthropoda; Insecta; Blattodea; Termopsidae
Source: RefSeq, a predicted model, not a curated record